RNAcentral lists this ribosomal RNA (515 nucleotides) under Diaporthe sp. MGM1. RNAcentral describes it as "eukaryotic LSU rRNA". The stretch from base 166 to 319 matches the Rfam family "5.8S ribosomal RNA". Lineage: Eukaryota; Fungi; Ascomycota; Sordariomycetes; Diaporthales; Diaporthaceae. The record is from RNAcentral.
GCUUCGGCGCACCCAGAAACCCUUUGUGAACUUAUACCUAUGUUGCCUCGGCGUUAGGCCGGCCUCUUCACUGAGGCCCCCUGGAGACAGGGAGCAGCCCGCCGGCGGCCAACUAAACUCUUGUUUCUAUAGUGAAUCUCUGAGUAAAAAACAUAAAUGAAUCAAAACUUUCAACAACGGAUCUCUUGGUUCUGGCAUCGAUGAAGAACGCAGCGAAAUGCGAUAAGUAAUGUGAAUUGCAGAAUUCAGUGAAUCAUCGAAUCUUUGAACGCACAUUGCGCCCCCUGGUAUUCCGGGGGGCAUGCCUGUUCGAGCGUCAUUUCAACCCUCAAGCCUGGCUUGGUGAUGGGGCACUACUUCCUCACGGGAGUAGGCCCUGAAAUUCAGUGGCGAGCUCGCCAGGACCCCGAGCGUAGUAGUUAUAUCUCGCUUUGGAAGGCCCUGGCGGUGCCCUGCCGUUAAACCCCCAACUUCUGAAAAUUUGACCUCGGAUCAGUAGGAAUACCCGCUGAACU